UGAAGAGGGAGCUCUAUCGCCACCAUGAGUUUCUCCGGCAAGUACCAACUGCAGAGCCAGGAAAACUUUGAAGCCUUCAUGAAGGCAAUCGGAGGGACCUAGCUUGGAAGAUCAACUGUCUGGUCACCAGGGGUAUGGGGAAUGAAAUGCUCACACUCCAAGAGCAAAGUCAUCAAAGGAGGAGGGAAUGAGGAAGGAGAGUGAGCAAGAACCAGGGUGCUUACAAGAGGAACGGUUCUUCAGGCCAGAAGAGUGUCCUUUUUAUAAAUUGACUGGCAAGAUAGCAGCAGGCCAGGCGAGGUCACUGUCCCUUCCUUCCUGAGGCCACAGCCCACGCUGCUCACAAGCCCCCAGUCUGCCAGAAGAGCUCAUCCAGAAGGGGAAGGAUAUCAAGGGGGUGUCGGAAAUCAUGCAGAAUGGGAAGCACUUCAAGUUCACCAUCACCACUGGGUCCAAAGUGAUCCAAAACGAAUUCACCGUGGGGGAGGAAUGUGAGCUGGAGACAAUGACAGGGGAGAAAGUCAAGACAGUGGUUCAUUUGGAAGGUGACAAUAAACUGGUGACAACUUUCAAAAACAUCAAGUCUGUGACCGAACUCAACGGCGACAUAAUCACCAGUGUAAGUUGGUGGUGCUCUGAGCAUGUGGCUCCCAGUGCUUGAGGGGAAAGGGGAGGUGAUGCAUGGGGAGCAGCUCACUUACCCUAAUGCCACCCUUCCACCCUCCAACCCCCAAACUUCUUUCCUGUGGUCAGUAUCUGCCAGCACUUACUGAGGAUCCAUAAUGUCCCAGGCAGUUUACACACAUUAUCACUAAUCCUUUCUGCUCGGCACCAACCAACCAGCCACAGAGGCCUCCACCUGCCCUGCAUGCCCAGGGUGCUUCAUAAAUGCCUUUGCCCAUUUAGCGUUUAUAAAGAGAAUCCCAUUCAUGGUCAUAUUAUGGCAGCUUACAAGCCUGGCACAGUCCAGUUAUGCAGUCAGCCUUGGUGCCUGGCUGCCAACCACAUCCUAUACCCUAUUUGGGGGUGAAUGGUGCAGUGUUUUUCCUGCAGGUAUGUCCCCCUGACUCUUCUUUGCCCCCAGAAUAUGCUUUAGGGAGUCACAGACAACAGAACACUGCCUCAGGGCACUGUCAUCACUCUGUUCAAAUGGAAAAAUUCUUAAACUAGAGAGAGUGUGAGCAUCAACCACCCAAUGUGCAGUUUCCACCUCCAUCCCAGCACAUUCCCAGGAAAGCAGGGGAGCAGGAGAUGAGCUGUCCUGCAGUAAAUCCUGGCCAACGCCCUUUGAUAGGUUCCAUCUCACCUAAUCCUCCUGUCUCCUUCGAGGGAGGCUGGAUGAGGGAUUCAAUAGACAGGUUGACCUGUCCAAGUCAUCGGCUAAUAAAUGGUAAAUCCAGGGCUCAAACCCAUCAAGCAGCAACCAUUGCAUUGCUGCUGAAGCUGAGGGGCUCCUUUUCACCUUGAUGACAUGGUAUGUCAUUCCAGCAGUCUCAUUCAAGAGAACUGGCAGGGGUGGAGGGAACAUCCUUAAAAACUCAAAAGCUGAUGCAUCCACUGUUUUUAUACGCUUCACAGCUCUAGGAGGACAAUUAUGCACUACCCACUGCCUUCCAGGCUGUAUGCCUAGUUGUGUCCAUGUACAUGUAUCCUUGGUGCUCAACAUGUAUUUGGUGCAUAGUAGGUACUCAAUGAAACUUUGAGAAAUUGGAUUGGGCUGGUUUGGAUGGUCUUGCUAUAACAGACAUUGAUGUAGAAAAGAAUUCAGUCAAAGGCAGGAGGACUUUCCAGGUGAGAAGGAGAAGUGACAAAGACUUGGCAUAGGAUUUUGGAAAACAUUGCCAACCUUUCCUCCGGUCCUACAGGAAACCAGAUGAAGUUUUGAAUUGUUUCAUAUGCCAACAUAUUUGGUGCCGUUUUUUAAGCUUAAUUUUGUUUUUUACAAUACAACAUCAGAUGAACACUUCAUAAUUUCUUUUCUGGCUUUCAGACCAUGACAUUGGGCGACAUUGUCUUCAAGAGAAUCAGCAAGAGAAUUUAAACAAGUCUGCAUUUCAUAUUAUUUU
RNAcentral lists this small RNA (2066 nucleotides) under Pongo abelii (Sumatran orangutan). RNAcentral describes it as "processed transcript". Lineage: Eukaryota; Metazoa; Chordata; Mammalia; Primates; Hominidae. The record is from RNAcentral.